This 826-nucleotide long non-coding RNA is filed under the name Anser brachyrhynchus (Pink-footed goose). RNAcentral's name for it is "lncRNA (ENSABRG00000020254.1)". The record is from RNAcentral. Lineage: Eukaryota; Metazoa; Chordata; Aves; Anseriformes; Anatidae.
AAAGGCUUUAUACCAGGAACUCUCUGUCAUUUAAGUUAUCUCCUUCCAUCCAUAAUACUGUUUUAUAGACUGACAUAAAAAGUAGAUAAAAAGAGCUGGUACUAUUAGAUGAACUCCCUCAAUCUCUGGUUUACUUGUGUUUUCCUGGAAGAAAAAAAAAAGAAAAAAAAAAGAAGCCACCAUGGUUGUUUAUUUUAAAAGUGAUUCCAUUUUUGUUUUACUCGUGUUCACUACAGAUUACUGGGACUGAAAAGUGAAAACCUGGGAAGAAAAGGAGGAGCCUGGAAAAACACUGGAAAGAAAGAGAAAGAGAAGAAAUGAGAAGAAAUCAAGAGAGGGGUAUGCUAAGAAGCUGAGGUCAGAGACUGAACACAAAGAACUGUUUUUCAUUUCAUUUAAGAAUUGUUACACAUUGCUGCGGCAGGGGAGAGAUCGAAGUAUGAUGACAGUUUAAUGGGCUCUUCGGUCCUGGAGAGUUGAUAAGUCUGUUUUUCCAGUUGAAGAUCAGCGUGUGUGAACCUUCUUCCAAAGCAGGAAACUUUAAAUGGACUUCCAGCAAGUGCUGAGCUGCAGGGCUUUACAUAUCAGCAGUGCCACUGAAAUCAGCAGAAAAUUUGUGGAACAAGACGUUGAAGAUCUUUCCCUAAUCAGAGAAGGUAACAGAACUAGUCUUAGUGAAGAAAGCUGUGACAGAGCAGGAAAACCCAUCUGACUGUGUGCUUUUCAAUCUCUUUAUUCUUUCCUAAUAUGUUUUUCUUUAUCAUCAUCCACUUAACCUCCAGAGUGUUGUCUUCUAAUUCUGCUGUCACUUUUGACCUCAUUUUAC